This is a non-coding RNA of Otolemur garnettii (small-eared galago), 319 nucleotides long. Lineage: Eukaryota; Metazoa; Chordata; Mammalia; Primates; Galagidae. The record is from Rfam.
GGAUGUGAGGGCCUUCUGGCUGCAAUAUCUGUCACCCCUUGGAUUGCUGGGUUGAUUCGGCUGAUCUGAGGCUGGCUGGGCGUCAUCUCCUUCCUCCCUCACUGCUCCGCACGUCCCUCCCCAAGCUGUGCAUUUGGUGAAGGGCACCACCUUCCCAGAUAGAGGAGGACCGUUCAGUUCUUCAGUCAAGGGUAGAGUAGCUACGCUCCCGUGCUAGAACCUUCCAACAGUCAAGACACUACUGAAGAAGAAAAACAUUGUGAAGGCAUUUACUUUUUUAAUUAUCAGAAAUUUUUAGUAAAUAUAAUAACUAAUCUGU